UUGUUGUUGUUGUUGUUGUUUUGUGCCAGAGGGACCAAAAGUUUGACACUUAGAAAGUGCUCCGUGGUCUCCAGUGAACUAGCCCUUCUCUGUGGUCUCCAGUGACCAUGGCUCUCCAGAGCCUGUCAGUGAGCAGAAAGCCAAGGGCAGUGGCCUCUGGGUCCCUAAGACACAAGUCAGGCCAUUUUCACGGGGGAAACCUUUGUCCCUAGGUUAGCGUUCAUUAACUCUCAGCUCACAGGCCGCCUGGCUCACAAGAGAUUGGAAGCGAGUGGUAGGAGGUGAAGGAGGAAGCGGGAUGAGGGGGAGGGGACACUUGGCGGGUGGGCAGAAGGGGCAGACCAGGGACACUUACUUCAUGGUGCACUUUGUUGUAGGGAUUUAAAAAUACACACCGAGGAAAACAGUGCACACAGAAUUAACCCCUUCACUCUUUACACUCUGGGCACUCGCCUCCCAGGUGUUGUACUCACACUCUGGGCACUCGCCUCCCAGGUGUCGUACUCACACUCUGGGCACUCGCCUCCCAGGUGUUGUACUCACACUCUGGGCACUCGCCUCCCAGGUGUUGUACUCACACUCUGGGCACUCGCUUCCCAGGUGUCGUACUCACACUCUGGGCACUCGCCUCCCAGGUGUCGUACUCACACUCUGGGCACUCGCCUCCCAGGUGUCGUACUCACACUCUGGGCACUCGCCUCCCAGGUGUCGUACUCACACUCUGGGCACUCGCCUCCCAGGCAUCAACCUGGACAUGCUGGUCUUACUCCUGUUAACCAAGUCACUGCAUGGAUUCUAUACCUAAGGUUGCAUAUUUAAGAUACUGACCAUAAUCCUGGGCUCACAGUCAGAUCUCAGGAAGGCAGGCAUUAGCUGAGUCUUACAGUGAAGUAAGUUUUAGGGGCCAAACUAGGAACAGUGUUGGUUUUCCACACAGGGUCAAGCCUGUACUUAACCCACAGUUCAAAUCCAAGCACUCUGGACAAUGAGUUUGUCUUGGAGUCGUGGCCAGAACCCAGCCCAUUUUGAUAACCAGAUACAAGUUCUUUCCUUACUUGAUAUUUCAGUGUUUCAUUUAAGAGUAUAAAGAUCUGGUUGUGGGUGCUAACUACACACUCAAACACACACACAUACACACACUUGUGUGCACACCUGUGUGGAAUUUCCAACAUAAGGACUGACUCUAGGAGUUUUAGAUGAAGGAUCAUGAGCCUUGGGCAUUUUAUGGUGUGUGUGUGUAUGUGUGUGUGUGUCUGUGUCUGUGUGUUUCUGUGUUCAGUUUUUAGUUUCUGUAUACCUUGUACAUGGACUACUGUGUAUGUGGAGUAGUGCGUAUACUGCAUACAUCAUGAGGCCCCUGUCACACAAGCGUGGUGUGUUGUACACUGUGAAUAUCCUCAUCCCCCUCUUCCCUCCCUCCCUUUAGUCUUCUUUGUUCCUCUAGAUGUGUUUCUGCUUCUAUAUCAUGCGGGAUUUUUUAUGUGUCUAUAUAAAAAUCUAGGGCCUACAUAUGAGAGAGAACAUCUGUGUUUUGAACACUGGCUUAAUUCGCCUAUUGUAAACUUCAGUUUUCCUGCAAACAGCAUAACCUCAUUUUCCUUUAUGGUGAGAAGGACUCCACUGUGUACCGGUGCACGCCACCCUCCUCUGUGGUUGGGCACCUCAGCCUGACUUAGGUAUUGUGAGUAGUGCUGCAGCGAACACUGCGAGUGUGUAUGUGGUGAGUUGACGUGGGUGUGUAUUUGAGUUGAUAGGUAGUAUUCAGCAUGAUCUUACUGCAGAAGACAUUGUAGACACUGAGUGUUUGAUCGCCUUAGAGACGUCAGUGGACACAAUAAACACCGCUGUGUUCUCUCUCCCCU
Molecule: long non-coding RNA, 1862 nt
Organism: Apodemus sylvaticus (European woodmouse)
Lineage: Eukaryota; Metazoa; Chordata; Mammalia; Rodentia; Muridae
Exons: 3
Source: RefSeq, a predicted model, not a curated record